Pelobates cultripes (western spadefoot toad) is the source of this 427-nucleotide non-coding RNA. The record is from the annotation of a GenBank genome assembly. NCBI's taxonomy places the organism in Eukaryota, Metazoa, Chordata, Amphibia, Anura, Pelobatidae.
GUAAUAUUGAUUUCUUGUACGACGAUAUGGGUUGUGUCGAGAUGUGUAACAAUGCCAAUUCCGCAUUCCACUCCAGUAUGUCUCCCAGAAUAAGCUUCACUGUGUUCCUAAUCAUUUCCCAAUAUGGGGUGAUAUCUCUGCACUUCCACCAGAUGUGUAGCAACGUGCCGCGUCUUUCCUGGCACCUCCAGCACACCUGGGGAAUUGAUGGGAAUAUUCGGUGUAGUAAAGUUGGUGUUCUAUACCAUAGGGAGAGCAAUUUGUAAUUCAUUUCCUGGUAAUAGGAACUCAUAGAGCUCUUAUGCUGCCACAACAUCGCUUUAUCCCAUUGCUGGGUUAUGAGUAAUUUUCUGAGUUGUUCCUCCCAUUGCCGUUUAAACGUCAUAGCUGUAGGCGUGCCUCCGAUUAGUAGAUGUUGAUAUAGUGC